CUCCGCGUGGCGCAAUGGCAGCGCGUGAGACUUCUACUGCGAAAUCUCGAGGUUGCGGGUUCGACCCCCGCCGUGGAGU
This 79-nucleotide transfer RNA is filed under the name Hapsidospora chrysogenum ATCC 11550. RNAcentral describes it as "Acremonium chrysogenum ATCC 11550 tRNA". It matches the Rfam family "tRNA". Rfam says of the family: Transfer RNA (tRNA) molecules are approximately 80 nucleotides in length. Their secondary structure includes four short double-helical elements and three loops (D, anti-codon, and T loops). Lineage: Eukaryota; Fungi; Ascomycota; Sordariomycetes; Hypocreales; Bionectriaceae. The record is from Rfam by way of RNAcentral.